RNAcentral lists this long non-coding RNA (385 nucleotides) under Mytilus galloprovincialis (Mediterranean mussel). Lineage: Eukaryota; Metazoa; Mollusca; Bivalvia; Mytilida; Mytilidae. The record is from RNAcentral.
UUUUAUUAUUUAUUUAUUUACGUUGAACAAUCAUGCUUAUAGUCAUCUGUGUAGUGUUUGUCAUUUACAUUUUUCUUUUUUUUCAUAUUGUCAUUUGUAUAGUGGUCCUUGGGGUCUUCUAAUUUUUUCUUUUUUUUCUUUUUAUAAAUAAAGCUAUGAGUAAUAUAUUGACUUUUAAUUAGUAUUAUAGUCCCGAAUUCGCAUGCACAAUUGGUUUGAGUUUACAACUGAUUGUACAAAACUGCAUGCAUGAAGACAUUUUAAAGUCACUGAUGGAGAAUGAAGGGACGAUGAAUGCCUGUUCAAAUUACAUUUGAAGAAAUUACAUAACAUAUAUCAUUUCUUUAUUCAAAAUGACUUUUAACAUGUGAAAUUAUUAUAUUAA